RNAcentral lists this ribosomal RNA (453 nucleotides) under uncultured Diversispora. Its description in RNAcentral is "SSU rRNA". It matches the Rfam family "Eukaryotic small subunit ribosomal RNA", at positions 569 to 1021 of the family's 1831-position model. Lineage: Eukaryota; Fungi; Glomeromycota; Glomeromycetes; Diversisporales; Diversisporaceae. The record is from RNAcentral.
AGCAGCCGCGGUAAUUCCAGCUCCAAUAGCGUAUAUUAAAGUUGUUGCAGUUAAAAAGCUCGUAGUUGAACCUCGGGGUCUACCCAUUGGUCAGGCUUAAUUGUCUGCACUGGUGAGAUGGAUCUCUACCUUCUGAGGAACUUUCAUGCCAUUUAUUUGGUGUGAUGGGAAAUCAGGACUGUUACUUUGAAAAAAUUAGAGUGUUUAAAGCAGACUAUCGUCUGAAUACAUUAGCAUGGAAUAAUGAAAUAGGACGGACUGAUUCUAUUUCGUUGGUUCUAGGAUCACCGUAAUGAUUAAUAGGGAUAGUUGGGGGCAUUAGUAUUCAAUUGUCAGAGGUGAAAUUCUUGGAUUUAUUGAAGACGUUAACUACUGUCGAAAGCAUUUGCCAAGGAUGUUUUCAUUAAUCGAAGAACGAAAGUUAGGGGAUCGAAGACGAUCAGAUACCGUCGU